This 623-nucleotide ribosomal RNA is filed under the name uncultured bacterium. RNAcentral describes it as "bacterial SSU rRNA". It matches the Rfam family "Bacterial small subunit ribosomal RNA", at positions 400 to 1016 of the family's 1533-position model. The record is from RNAcentral.
CGUUGUGAAGAAGGCUUAUGGUUGUAAAGCACUUUAAGCGAGGAGGAGGCUACUUUAGAUAAUACCUAGAGAUAGUGGACGUUACUCGCAGAAUAAGCACCGGCUAACUCUGUGCCAGCAGCCGCGGUAAUACAGAGGGUGCAAGCGUUAAUCGGAUUUACUGGGCGUAAAGCGCGCGUAGGCGGCUAAUUAAGUCAAAUGUGAAAUCCCCGAGCUUAACUUGGGAAUUGCAUUCGAUACUGGUUAGCUAGAGUGUGGGAGAGGAUGGUAGAAUUCCAGGUGUAGCGGUGAAAUGCGUAGAGAUCUGGAGGAAUACCGAUGGCGAAGGCAGCCAUCUGGCCUAACACUGACGCUGAGGUGCGAAAGCAUGGGGAGCAAACAGGAUUAGAUACCCUGGUAGUCCAUGCCGUAAACGAUGUCUACUAGCCGUUGGGGCCUUUGAGGCUUUAGUGGCGCAGCUAACGCGAUAAGUAGACCGCCUGGGGAGUACGGUCGCAAGACUAAAACUCAAAUGAAUUGACGGGGGCCCGCACAAGCGGUGGAGCAUGUGGUUUAAUUCGAUGCAACGCGAAGAACCUUACCUGGCCUUGACAUACUAGAAACUUUCCAGAGAUGGAUUGGUG